GCCCUGCUAGCUCAAUCGGUAGAGCGUGAGACUCUUAAUCUCAAGGUUGUGGGUUCGAAACCCACGUGGGGCU
Molecule: non-coding RNA, 73 nt
Organism: Xylaria venustula
Lineage: Eukaryota; Fungi; Ascomycota; Sordariomycetes; Xylariales; Xylariaceae
Source: the annotation of a GenBank genome assembly